UCGAGAAUAUUCGGCAAUGGGCGCAAGCCUGACCGAGCGACGCCGCGUGCGGGAUGAAGGCCUUCGGGUUGUAAACCGCUGUCAGAGGGGCUGAAGUACCGGGGGGCUAUCCCCCUGGAUUGACAUAGCCUCAGAGGAAGCACGGGCUAAGUUCGUGCCAGCAGCCGCGGUAAGACGAACCGUGCAAACGUUGUUCGGAAUCACUGGGCUUAAAGGGUGCGUAGGCGGCUUUGUAAGUCGGGUGUGAAAUCCCUCGGCUCAACCGAGGAACUGCAUUCGAUACUGCUUAGCUUGAGGGAGAUAGGGGCGCGUGGAACUUCGGGUGGAGCGGUGAAAUGCGUUGAGAUCCGAAGGAACGCCGGUGGCGAAAGCGACGCGCUGGGUCUCCUCUGACGCUGAGGCACGAAAGCUAGGGGAGCGAACGGGAUUAGAUACCCCCGUAGUCC
Molecule: ribosomal RNA, 446 nt
Filed under: uncultured prokaryote
Description: bacterial SSU rRNA
Rfam family: Bacterial small subunit ribosomal RNA
Source: RNAcentral